RNAcentral lists this ribosomal RNA (591 nucleotides) under uncultured bacterium. RNAcentral's name for it is "partial 16S ribosomal RNA". It matches the Rfam family "Bacterial small subunit ribosomal RNA", at positions 355 to 1375 of the family's 1533-position model. The record is from RNAcentral.
UGGGGAAUUUUGGACAAUGGGGGGAAACCCUGAUCCAGCCAUCCCGCGUGUGCGAUGAAGGCCUUCGGGUUGUAAAGCACUUUUGGCAGGAAAGAAACGUCGCGGGUUAAUACCCCGCGAAACUGACGGUACCUGCAGAAUAAGCACCGGCUAACUACGUGCCGGCAGCCGCGGUAAUACGUAGGGUGCAAGCGUUAAUCGGAAUUACUGGGCGUAAAGCGUGCGCAGGCGGUUCGGAAAGAAAGAUGUGAAAUCCCAGAGCUUAACUUUGGAACUGCAUUUUUAACUACCGGGCUAGAGUGUGUCAGAGGGAGGUGGAAUUCCGCGUGUAGCAGUGAAAUGCGUAGAUAUGCGGAGGAACACCGAUGGCGAAGGCAGCCUCCUGGGAUAACACUGACGCUCAUGCACGAAAGCGUGGGGAGCAAACAGGAUUAGAUACCCUGGUAGUCCACGCCCCUAAACGAUGCCAACUAGCUGUUGGGGGCCCUUCGGGGCCUUUGGUAGCGCAGCUAACGCGUGAAGUUGACCGCCUGGGGAGUACGGUCGCAAGAUUAAAACUCAAAGGAAUUGACGGGGUCAUAGCUGUUUCCU